GUCGUAACAAGGUUUCCGUAGGUGAACCUGCGGAAGGAUCAUUACCGAGUGCGGGCCCUCGUGGCCCAACCUCCCACCCUUGUCUCUCUACACCUGUUGCUUUGGCGGGCCCACUGGGGCUCCCUGGUCGCCGGGGGACGCCUGUCCCCGGGCCCGCGCCCGCCGAAGCGCUUCGUGAACCCUGAUGAAGAAGGGCUGUCUGAGUACUAUGAAAAUUGUCAAAACUUUCAACAAUGGAUCUCUUGGUUCCGGCAUCGAUGAAGAACGCAGCGAAAUGCGAUAAGUAAUGUGAAUUGCAGAAUUCCGUGAAUCAUCGAAUCUUUGAACGCACAUUGCGCCCCCUGGCAUUCCGGGGGGCAUGCCUGUCCGAGCGUCAUUUCUGCCCUCAAGCACGGCUUGUGUGUUGGGUGUGGUCCCCCCGGGGACCUGCCCGAAAGGCAGCGGCGACGUCCGUCUGGUCCUCGAGCGUAUGGGGCUCUGUCACUCGCUCGGGAGGGACCUGCGGGGGUUGGUCACCACCACAUUUUCUAUUAUGGUUGACCUCGGAUCAGGUAGG
RNAcentral lists this ribosomal RNA (556 nucleotides) under Trichocomaceae sp. KJ-2012b. Its description in RNAcentral is "eukaryotic LSU rRNA". The stretch from base 223 to 376 matches the Rfam family "5.8S ribosomal RNA". The record is from RNAcentral. Lineage: Eukaryota; Fungi; Ascomycota; Eurotiomycetes; Eurotiales; Trichocomaceae.